RNAcentral lists this ribosomal RNA (334 nucleotides) under uncultured Glomeromycotina. Its description in RNAcentral is "eukaryotic LSU rRNA". The record is from RNAcentral. Lineage: Eukaryota; Fungi; Glomeromycota.
GUGAAAUUGUUGAAAGGGAAACGCUUGAAGUCAGUCAUGCCAGCGAGAAAUCAGCUCACAGGCUACUGUGGGUGCACUUUUUCGCAAGGCAGGUUAACAUCGAUUGUUGUUGCGUCAUAAUGAUUGUAGGAAGGUGGCUCCUUCGGGAGUGUUAUAGCCUACUUUAGAUGGCGUGAUAGAGAUCGAGGAUUGCAGCGAAUGCCUUUAGGCUACGGGUCUGUUCUCUGUCGAUUGUCAAUUGGACUUCAGCAAGCUGAGGCACGGUUGAAUAAUUUACAAUAGGAUGGAAUCCGAUAGAUUCGCUAAGGAUGUUGACGUAAUGGCUUUAAACGAC